RNAcentral lists this unclassified non-coding RNA (955 nucleotides) under Hevea brasiliensis (rubber tree). The record is from RNAcentral. Lineage: Eukaryota; Viridiplantae; Streptophyta; Magnoliopsida; Malpighiales; Euphorbiaceae.
AUUUGUUAUCAAAAUUAUGUGAACUGUGGUUUACCUCUUUUUCUAAAGAUUCUGGUGAAUUGCUUCUGCUUAGGUGAAAUUUGCUAUUACUCAUCAUGGAAAGUUUAAUGAAAGAGUAUGCUGCUUUUGAAGAAAAAGUAAAGCGUACUAUCCUCAUUGACAGCCUUUCACCUGCGGCUACUGAAGCUGUCGUUAGAGCUUCACUUGAUCAAUUUGGGAAUGUCAUUCAGGUCAAGUUUAUCCCAAACUACCUUGAACCAAAGACCGUUGGACUAUCUGCAUUGGUUGAGCUGGAAAAUGCAGACCAGGCGAAAACUAUAAUCUCCGAGAUAAGCAGUUCCUCAUUUAUGAUCUGUGGCAUGCCAAGGCCUGUCAGGGCACGUGCUGCUGAAGUAGAGAUGUUCGAUGACCGUCCUAUAAAACCUGGUAGGAAGAUAGUAUGCCGAUGGUUGGACUCCAGUGAUCCUGAUUUUGAGGUCACUGAGAAGAUCAAGCAUUUGGUUAGCAAACAUGCAGAAGAAGCCAAGUUUUGCCUCAAGCAUCAACUAGAGGAGGAGGAGAAUCUUGCGAAAAAACAGACAGAGAUCUUGAACGCAGCGUAUAAGAAGUAUGAACUCAUAGACAGUGUUGUUGGCAACAGAGUCGCUGAACGUCUGUCUGAACGUUACAGAGUGCACGUUGCAAAUGCUGAACAGCACUAAACUCGUCUGUCCAACGCUAUGCAGAAGAAACUAACAUAGACCUAAUGAUUUUGCUUCCUUGCGAUCGAUUGACAUGUUUUGCUUUUUGUGAAAGAUCAUAUUUCAGGCAGUUGAGAGAGCUCACUCUAUAAAAGCUUGUGUAGUGUUAGGUUGAUCUUGAAUUUAUGUUUCAAGUAAACCUGCAAAAUAUUACUUAAUACUACAUGUUAUGUUAUAGCUAGAGUGUGAAAGCUAAUGAUUGUGUGAAGGGUGUG